GCUGCAUGGGCGAAGCCUGAUGCAGCAACGCCGCGUGGGGGAUGACGGCCUUCGGGUUGUAAACCUCUUUUGGCAGGGAAGAAGCGAAAGUGACGGUACCUGCAGAAAAAGCACCGGCUAACUACGUGCCAGCAGCCGCGGUAAUACGUAGGGUGCGAGCGUUGUCCGGAAUUAUUGGGCGUAAAGAGCUCGUAGGCGGUUCGUCGCGUCUGCUGUGAAAUCCCGAGGCUCAACCUCGGGCCUGCAGUGGGUACGGGCGAACUAGAGUGCAGUAGGGGAGACUGGAAUUCCUGGUGUAGCGGUGGAAUGCGCAGAUAUCAGGAGGAACACCGAUGGCGAAGGCAGGUCUCUGGGCUGUAACUGACGCUGAGGAGCGAAAGCGUGGGGAGCGAACAGGAUUAGAUACCCUGGUAGUCCACGCCGUAAACGUUGGGCGCUAGAUGUGGGGACCAUUCCACGGUUUCCGUGUCGCAGCUAACGCAUUAAGCGCCCCGCCUGGGGAGUACGGCCGCAAGGCUAAAACUCAAUGAAAUUUGACGG
Molecule: ribosomal RNA, 540 nt
Filed under: Agromyces insulae
Lineage: Bacteria; Bacillati; Actinomycetota; Actinomycetes; Micrococcales; Microbacteriaceae
Description: bacterial SSU rRNA
Rfam family: Bacterial small subunit ribosomal RNA
Source: RNAcentral